RNAcentral lists this ribosomal RNA (234 nucleotides) under Caenorhabditis briggsae. RNAcentral describes it as "partial 28S ribosomal RNA". It matches the Rfam family "Eukaryotic large subunit ribosomal RNA", at positions 1 to 222 of the family's 3401-position model. The record is from RNAcentral. Lineage: Eukaryota; Metazoa; Nematoda; Chromadorea; Rhabditida; Rhabditidae.
AUCAACCUGAACUCAGUCGUGAUUACCCGCUGAACUUAAGCAUAUCAUUUAGCGGAGGAAAAGAAACUAAAAAGGAUUCCCUUAGUAACGGCGAGUGAAACGGGAUGAGCCCAGCGCCGAAUCGAUCAGCCUAUGGUUGCUUCGAAAUGUGGCGUAUAGGUGUAGUCUUCCAGCAGUGUCGUGAGUCCGAAGUCCUUACGAUUGAGGCCAUAGACCAGAGAGGGUGCGAGUCCC